RNAcentral lists this unclassified non-coding RNA (240 nucleotides) under soil metagenome. RNAcentral describes it as "partial contains 5.8S ribosomal RNA, internal transcribed spacer 2, and large subunit ribosomal RNA". The record is from RNAcentral.
AACGGUCUAUACCUGCGGUACCUGCGGAGGGAUCAUUAUUGAAACUAUGUCGCUCUCGGUGGGGUUGUAGCUGGCUCUCGCAGCAUGUGCACGCUUCCCGAGGUUUCAUUUUCAUCCACCUGUGCACCUCUUGUAGGCUCUGAGAAAACAUUCAGUGAAAACCUGGAUGGUGGGGAUUGCGGGGUGCCCGAGCAUCUGCUCUCCUCUGUGUCUCUGAGGCUAUGUUUUUGUAUAUACCCC